UUAAGAUACUAAGAGCAUACGGUGGAUGCCUUGGCGAUAUCUGCCGACGAAGGACGUGACAAGCUGCGAAAAGCUGCGGAGAGAUGCAAAUAAUCGGCGACCCGCAGACAUCCGAAUGGAGAAAUCCGGCUGUGAUGAUGCACAGCCAUCCAUGCCCAAGAGCAUGAGAAGGGAACCGGGCGAACUGAAACAUCUAAGUAACCCGAGGAAAAGAAAUCAAACGAGAUACCCCAAGUAGCGGCGAGCGAACAGGGAAGAAGCCCAAACCGGUGAAGGAAACUUUACCGGGGUUGAGGACCAUCAGACCCGCGAAGAACCUUAGCCGAAACUGUUGGGAAACAGUGCCAAAGACAGUGAAAGCCUGGUAGGCGAAAAAGAGAAACGCGGAGAUGGCACCAGAGUACCGCGGGACACGAGAAAUCCCGUGGGAAGCAGGGGGGACCACCCUCCAAGGCAAAACACAGAUAUCGACCGAUAGCGCAUAGUACCAUGAGGGAAAGGUGAAAAGCACCCCGGGAGGGGAAUGAAAGAGAACCUGAAACCGUAUGUUUACAAGCAGUCGGAGACCGCUUAAUAAUAAGGUCGACGGCGUGCCUAUUGAAGAAUGAACCGGCGAGUUACGAAGCCUGGCAAGGUUAAGCAGGAAAUGCGGAGCCGAAGCGAAAGCGAGUCUUAAGAGGGCGCAAGUCAGGAAGCGUAGACCCGAAACCACAGUGAUCUACCCAUGUCCAGGUUGAAACACAGGUAAAAAUGUGUGGAGGACCGAACCUAUAUCCGUUGAAAAGGGUUAGGAUGAGGUGUGGGUAGGGGUGAAAUUCCAAUCGAACGUGGAGAUAGCUGGUUCUCCCCGAAAUAGCUUUAGGGCUAGCCUCAGGGAAAAGAUUGCAGGCGGUAGAGCACUGAUCAGGAGAGGGACCUACCCGGUUACCAAACCCAGUCAAACUCCGAAUGGCUGCAAUCAUACCUGGGAGUCAGACUGCGACUAAUAAGGGCCGCAGUCAAAAGGGAAACAGCCCAGACCAUCAGCUAAGGUCCCCAAUGCCGUGCUAAGUGGCGAAGGAUGUGGCAUUUCAUAAACAACCAGGAUGUUGGCUCAGAAGCAGCCACCAUUUAAAGAGUGCGUAAUAGCUCACUGGUCGAGAGACGCUGCGCCGAAAAUGUCCGGGGCUCAAGCACGGAACCGAAGCUAUGGCAUGAUAGCAAUAUCAUGGGUAGGGGAGCGUUCUUAUAAGGAAGAAGCAUGACCGGAAGGACAUGUGGACAAAUAAGAAGUGAGAAUGCCGGUAUGAGUAUCGAAAAGAAAGGUGAGAAUCCUUUCCACCGAAAGCCCGAGGGUUCCUGAGCAACGAUCGUCGACUCAGGGUAAGUCGGGACCUAAGCCGAGGCGAGAAGCGUAGGCGAUGGACAACAGGUUGAAAUUCCUGUACCGGAUCAAGUCGAUCGAGCGAAGGAGCGACGCAGGAGGGCACAUGAUCGCGCGGCUGGAAGAGCGCGUCCAAGUGCGUAUGUUGCCGCAGAGGAAAACCCCUGCAGCUAAAAGCAGAGACAUGAAGGGGAGUUAAAGGAAACUUUGACGAACUCAUGGAUCCCACACUGCCAAGAAAAACUUCUAGCGAGACAAGAUCCGCCCGUACCGUAAACCGACACAGGUAGGCGGGGAGAGAAUCCUAAGGUGCGCGGGAAAACCCUCGUUAAGGAACUCGGCAAAUUGCAUCCGUAACCUAGGGAGAAGGAUGGCCCCCGGUCAGUGAAGAGCAGAAACGCUCAGAGCUAAAAGGGGCGGCAGAAAAGAGGCCCAAGCAACUGUUUACCAAAAACACAGGUGCCUGCGAAAGCGAAAGCUGAAGUAUAGGUGCUGACGCCUGCCCGGUGCCGGAAGGUUAAGGAGAGAAGUUAGCGAACGCGAAGCAUCGAACUGAAGCCCCGGUGAACGGCGGCCGUAACUAUAACGGUCCUAAGGUAGCGAAAUUCCUUGUCGGGUAAGUUCCGACCCGCAUGAAAGGCGUAAUGAUUUGGGCACUGUCUCAACGAGGGGCCCGGUGAAAUUGAAAUACCUGUGAAGAUGCAGGUUACCCGCGACUGGACAGAAAGACCCCAUGGAGCUUCACUGCAGCUUGAGAUUGAAUCCCGGUGACAGAUGCACAGGAUAGGUGGGAGGCGCCGAAGCAUUGCCCUAGGGCGGUGCGGAGCCGAUGUUGGGAUACCACCCUUCUGUUGCUGAGAUUCUAACGCGAGGAGUAACGACCCUGCGGACCCUCUCAGGCAGGCGGUUUGACUGGGGCGGUCGCCUCCGAAAGAGUAACGGAGGCGCCCAAAGGU
RNAcentral lists this ribosomal RNA (2319 nucleotides) under human gut metagenome. RNAcentral describes it as "bacterial LSU rRNA". It matches the Rfam family "Bacterial large subunit ribosomal RNA", at positions 1 to 2317 of the family's 2925-position model. The record is from RNAcentral.